This 2045-nucleotide long non-coding RNA is filed under the name Paramuricea clavata. Lineage: Eukaryota; Metazoa; Cnidaria; Anthozoa; Malacalcyonacea; Plexauridae. The record is from RNAcentral.
AAUGGCUAUUAUUAUCAAUUUACAUGGUUUUAGCAGUCACAGCAUUCUUUAUUUAAGACUAAGUAGAUAGUGCUAUGACCGAGAUAAUUUCUGUAUAUUUUAUACCGAUUACAUGGAGAGUUUUCAGCCUGAGCUGAAUUUCAGCCCGGUAAACCGAGCCGAAAUAGCAUCACGAUUACAUGGGCAGUUUGAACCUGGGCUGAGUUUUAGUCAGAGCAAUAUUUAUUCCUUGUAGUAUUAAAACAAACCCAGGAUGAAAUGUCAUCCCGGCCUGAAAUCAUACGAUAUCACGAAAGGCAAUAUUCCGCUUGUUUGAGCAUUUAAAACGCCGAUUAAUUAGUCGACUAUUUGACUUGUGUAAGACUGUGGUUGCAUAAUUAUUUGCAAUUACAUGCAUGGGAUAUUUCAUCCCGGUUGACAGGGCUGAAAAUCUCAUCCUGGGUGACAUAAACCGGGAUGAAAAUUUCAACCCGGCCUGAAUUUCAGCCCUGUCAACCGGGAUGAAAUAUCCCAUGUAAUCGCAAAUAAUUUCAGCCCGGGCUAAAAAAACAAUCGUUUAAGUGGCUUUAUUUUGCAUUUCGUUUGCAAUUCGAAAUUUUUUCCAUGUAAUCGUAAAAUUCAUAUUAUAUUGAAUUUAUAGGGGCCCCGGUCUGAAAUUUCAUCCCUGUUUGCCAGGCUGAAAUUUCAUCCCGGGCUGAAAACCUCCACGUAAUCGGCCCCUUAUUUUAACUAAAGACAAAACUUAGCACAUUUUCACUAAGCUAUAAAAGAAGGAUGACUUCGAAAUUAUUUUCAGUUUUUUUUAAUUGUUAGUUUGCAUGUGGUUUGGCUGAACAUGCUCAGAGACAGAGAAAUUGUGUUCUCAAACUCAUUAAUAAUUUAUAAACCGAAAACAAAGGAAAUUAAUGUUUAAUCAUGGGCGUACAGGAAGGAAAAAAUUAGGGGGGCGGAAAGAAAUUUGCCCGACUUUUUCGGAUUGUGCCCGACCAGUGCCGAAAAAUUUUUUUCCGUAACAAAUUAAUUUUGGCGACCUCCCCCCCCCGUUUCGGUCAGUGUAUCAUUUUAGGGGUCCAAAAAUUUUUCGGAACAUCAUACAAAUUUUCAACACAUCACAAAAUUGACCACAAAAUUGACGGAAUUUCCCACAAAAUUGACAGAAUUUGUCCCAUUUAUUUUUAUAAUAAGCCAAUAUUGCCCGACUGUGGAGCGAAUAUUGCCCGACUGACUUUGUUUGCCCAACAAACUGGGGGGGGGGGGCUGCCGCCCACCCCGGUACGCCCAUGUGUUUAAUCAGUGUUUUGAAACUGGAAGAAAACUAUCUUAAAAGCAGGUGGAGGAUUUGAAAUCUCCCAGGGUCAGCGGGCAGGGUGGAAACAGGCAGAAAUUUUUCAAGGUACUAGUAGUUUGAAAUUUUUUAAGGUACUAGUAUUUUUAAAUUUUUCAAGGAACUAGUACACUGGAAUUAAUUUAAGGUACAGAAUAUUGUUCUGCCAUUAACAAAACUACAAAGCAAAAUUAAACACACUUGAAUCCUAAACACUUUUGUGGUGAAAAGUAAACUAUCAGGUAAAAGCGCCGGUUUGUCUUGAGACAGCGAUCGGGCGAUGUAAUUAACGUGUAAAUUUCUUAUCUGGAAAGUUUGAUACUGCAUGUCUAAAAAUAGAUCUUGCCAAGGUCUGACCGUCAUGGAUAUAAAGUGCUCCUUUUUCGCAAUAGUUGUUGGUCAUUGUGGCCAUGAUACUAGAGUUAAAAACAAAUCAUCAGAAUGCGUUCAGUUGUUAAAUUGUAAUCAUGAUUUACAGGGCAUAAAUCGGAAAACAUUGAGCAAUUCGUAAUAUAUCCUGCACAUCGAUCUACUCUUGGAGCAGGGUGGAAACAGGCAGAAAACGAGAAAUGUAGAAUUCCUGUGAUUCUAUCAAAUAUUUCUUUACCACUAUUUCCAUUGUUACUAGAAACGCGAUGAUAGAGACAACAGUCACGACAGGGAAAUCGGGUAAAACACUGCCAAACAAUUUUUUAGGUACUUUAUUGACUUUGAUUGGCAG